This 2855-nucleotide unclassified non-coding RNA is filed under the name Hevea brasiliensis (rubber tree). The record is from RNAcentral. Lineage: Eukaryota; Viridiplantae; Streptophyta; Magnoliopsida; Malpighiales; Euphorbiaceae.
AGAAAGUCCUCAAAAGCAACAAGAAUUUGGAGAUUUUUGGCUUUACAGAAACAGAAUCACAUGCACAGUUUGAUAUAUUCUUAGGGAAAGAAAGAAUACGAAUAGAAGAGGUAAUAACAAUAAUACCCAGUCGUAUUAUCGCUUUGGCUUCGCGCCUUUGCUACUUCAACUCUUCACUCUUGACCACACACGCUUACGCUCUCUCCUUUCAAAACGACUUGGUCUUUGGUCCUCCUCUCACUCUCCUUUCUCUGUCUAGCUUCCUUCUCUGCAAACCGCGUUUCUUUCUUUUCUAAAUUCUCACCCCCUUAAAAAUCCCCUCAAAACAGCCAUCAUCUACCACCACCGCCCCCCACCAUGAUAUUAUCAAUUCUUGCUACCCAUUUCUAUGGCUUUUCUUUUUCUUCGUACUAUUCUUUCUCUUCUACUCUUUUUGUCUUCUUUUCCUUCUAUUCUUUCACUCUCUACUGUUGCUAUUUCUGAAACUUCCAACCAUACAUUGAUUUGUGCUUUGGGGAGAACUAGUAGUCGUCAAACUUUUCUUAAUUGUUCUAGUUUUCCUGCUGGGAUUCAGAUUCCUGUAUUGAAUAAUUCAAGCUUUUCUUAUUCCGGGAUUGUUGCUGGAGAUGGGUUUGUCAGCGCUUUAAUGUCUUUGUCUUCCUCUUCCAAUUCAACUAUCGUUUCCUGGAGAUUCUCUAGUAAUGGUAGUAUUACGGGUUAUAAGAGAAUCUAUGAAGGUCCUGCUUUCAGAGUGCUUGAAGCUGGUAAUUCCCUUACAUGUGGUAUUGUUGAUGCCACCAAUCGCCUAGAGUGCUGGCCAAGGCGGAAAUUCCAGUCUAUCUCUGCUCAUGCUCAGAGUUUGAGCUUUUCCAGUAUUGCAGUAGGUGAAGACUUCGUUUGUGGAUUAUUAAGAUUUGGUAAUAUUACUUGCUUCGGAAACAAUCCUCCUGUCAAUGGCUCUCACGAAGGGAAUUUUAGCAUGAUUGCUGCCGGCUUCAGGCAUGCCUGUGCUCUAACUUUUGAUAACGAAUUGCAUUGUUGGGGAACUAUGGAGGGCCAAAAACCACAACAUAAGUUCAAAUUGUUGGCAUUAGGAGAGAACCGUAGCUGUGGUUUGCGGCUUAAUGAUAGAGUAGUUUGUUGGGGGCAGAACAAUUUCAGCUUGCAAGAAAGUUUGAAAGAUAGUUAUUUUGUCAAUAUUGAAGCUAAGAGGAACAUUUUCUGUGGAGUUCGGAAAGAGAAUUAUUCCCUGGUUUGUUGGGGUAAUGAGAUAUUGGACUCUAACUUAACGGUGUUUGAUGAAGUAAUCCCAGGACCAUGUACAAAUAGCUGUCAAAAUACACAUGCUAUGUUAGCAGGAUCAGGCAAGUUUUGCCCCCAAGGAUUUUUUAUUUGUCAUGAUAAUACUAAUACCAUUACUCCACCGCCACCAACCGUGCCACCACCACCGGCUCCACCAUUAGCACCAUGUUGGCCGCCAUCGACGCCUCCAGGGGGAUCAACAAGUAGUGAAUGGAGUAACAAGAUGAUAGCUUUCCUAGUAGUGGGCUGUGUGGGAUCCACUGUUUUGUUGCUAGCCGCUGGCUUCUUUGUCCUCAGAUACUGCAAGUGCAGAGGAUGUCGAGUCCAUGAUUCAGGGCGGUUGGAUGAGACCGGAGCACCCCUCGAACAGGGUACAGGACAACAACAGCAGCAACACCCACAAAUCGAACAAGCACCACCACCACCUGUUCUGGAGAAGCGUCUUAGCCAAUUGGCCAGCAUGGGAAAUGCAGGUCAUUUAGAAGAAUUCCCAUUGCAACUGCUACUUCAAGCCACGAACAACUUCUCCGAGGAUCACAAAGUUGGAGAAGGAAGCUUCGGCUCAGUCUAUCGCUCCACAUUAGGCGAUGGACGAGAAGUAGCAAUCAAACGAGCAGAAACAUCAAGCACUAGUUCCUACGCAAUAGGAACCAGGCGUCAAGAAGACAAAGACAAUGCAUUCAUUAACGAACUCGAAUCCUUAUCCCGUCUUCAUCACAAGAAUCUCAUCCGAUUACUAGGCUUCUGCGAAGAUUGUAACGAAAGGGUAUUAGUCUACGAGUACCUAAGCAAUGGCACCCUCCAUGAUCAUCUCCACAAGCUCCAAAGCUCACCAUUAAUGUCAUGGACUGCAAGAAUCAAAGUAGCACUAGACGCAGCCAGGGGAAUCGAGUACCUGCACGAGUACGCAGUACCACCAGUCAUUCACCGAGACAUAAAAUCAUCUAACAUACUUCUGGACUCAUCCUGGAACGCCAAGGUCUCAGAUUUCGGACUAUCGCUGAUGGGUCCUGAUGACGAAGAAUCCCACCUGUCCCUUCGAGCAGCAGGCACAGUAGGAUACAUGGACCCAGAGUACUACAGGCUGCAACAGCUGACCACAAAGAGCGACGUGUACAGCUUCGGAAUAGUGUUGCUAGAGCUAUUAUCAGGAAUCAAAGCAAUACACAAGAACGAGAAUGGAACGCCAAGAAAUGUGGUGGAUUUUGUAGUACCAUUCAUUGUACAUGAUGAAAUACACAGAGCCUUGGACUCGAGAGUUCCACCGCCAACGCCGUUUGAAAUAGAGGCUGUGGCGUAUGUAGGAUAUUUGGCGGCAGAUUGCGUGACGCUAGAUGGCCGAGAUCGGCCGCCGAUGACCGAAAUUGUAAAUAGCUUGGAAAGAGCAUUGGCUGCGUGUUUGGUGCACCCCACCUCGCUUUCGCGGUCCACGACCGGGUCCUCCACAUAGCCCCAAGUGGGAGAAAGCACCAGCGCACACGUGCCAGGAACUAGUCUAAUUUUUUUGUAUAAACCAUUUUUUUUUUUUAAAAUUUCCUCGAGAAAAUCCGAGU